This 270-nucleotide ribosomal RNA is filed under the name uncultured Subaequorebacter sp. RNAcentral's name for it is "partial 16S ribosomal RNA". It matches the Rfam family "Bacterial small subunit ribosomal RNA", at positions 452 to 723 of the family's 1533-position model. Lineage: Bacteria; Pseudomonadati; Pseudomonadota; Alphaproteobacteria. The record is from RNAcentral.
ACCGCGGCUGCUGGCACGAAGUUAGCCGGAGAAGAAGCACCGGCUAACUCUGUGCCAGCAGCCGCGGUAAGACAGAGGGUGCUAGCGUUGUUCGGAAUUACUGGGCGUAAAGGGCGCGUAGGCGGCCCGUUUAGUCGGGUGUGAAAUCCCGGGGCUCAACCCCGGAACUGCAUUCGAUACUGGCGGGCUUGAGACCGGAAGAGGUGGGUGGAAUACCCAGUGUAGAGGUGAAAUUCGUAGAUAUUGGGUGGAACACCGGUGGCGAAGGCG